This 484-nucleotide ribosomal RNA is filed under the name uncultured bacterium. RNAcentral's name for it is "partial 16S ribosomal RNA". It matches the Rfam family "Bacterial small subunit ribosomal RNA", at positions 30 to 507 of the family's 1533-position model. The record is from RNAcentral.
AUUGAACGCUGGCGGCAGGCCUAAUACAUGCAAGUCGAGCGGUUGAAGGGAGGUUGCUUCUGGAUUCAGCGGCGGACGGGUGAGUAAAGCCUAGGAAUAUGCUUGGUAGUGGGGGAUAAUGUCCGGAAACGGGCGCAAAUAAUGCAUACGAACUGUGGGUGUAAGAGGGGGAUCUUCGGAAAUCACGAUAUCAGAUAAGACUAGGUCGGCUUAGCUAGUUGGUGGGGUAAAGGCCUACCAAGGCGAAGAUCCGUAACUGGUCUGAGAGGAUGAUCAGUCACACUGGAACGGGGACACGCUCCGGACUCCUACGGAAGGCGGCAGUGGGGAAUAUUGGACAAGGACCGAAAGCCUGAUCCAGCCAUGCCGCGUGUGUGAAGAAGGUCUUCGGAUGGUAAAGCACGUUAUGUUAGAAGGAAGGGCAGUAAGUUAAUACCUUCCUGUUUUGACGUUACCUACAGAAUAAGCACCGGCUAACUUCGUG